UGAGUCUUGGUUGCAAAGUGUGGCUGCUC
Molecule: non-coding RNA, 29 nt
Filed under: Mus musculus (house mouse)
Lineage: Eukaryota; Metazoa; Chordata; Mammalia; Rodentia; Muridae
Source: RNAcentral